Tympanuchus pallidicinctus (lesser prairie-chicken) is the source of this 1385-nucleotide long non-coding RNA. RefSeq lists it as uncharacterized. Lineage: Eukaryota; Metazoa; Chordata; Aves; Galliformes; Phasianidae. The transcript has 3 exons. The record is from RefSeq and is a predicted model, not a curated record.
UCUGCUUUUGUGUUUGUUCUCAUUUGCUGUAGCUAAAGACCUGCUAUUUCCAUCCCGUUAUAGCAUUACAACAUCCUAUCUGCUGACAGGGUCAGAGAGCAACACACAAGUCUAAACCAGCAUCUGGACUGUUAACAUAAUGGUUUUGAAAUGCAAAAAGUCAGAUCCAGAAGGUGAAGUGCCACAUAGUCCAAAUGCCACACUUGACUUCAUCAGGAUUUGAUCAUGAUUAGACCAGAUUGACUCUCUAAGGGAAACUGUGGGAACUAAAAGUUGUGGAAAGACUUUGCUAUAGCAAGAAAAAUGCUCAUGUUUCAAGGAUAGAUGAAGUCUACUGAUUCCUUUAGAAAUUGCAUCACUGCUUCUUAAAGAAGAAAGAUAAACUGCCUAUUUAUGCAACAACUCUGAUUCUGGAACUGUUUUUAGGGUGCAAGCAGUGGUGCUCAUAACAGGCUGAAGUUUGGUGUGAGAGACACCAAAGAACAAUUUCUGUGCUCUUACUGCCAGUUAAGUAGUAAUGGAGCAGGCAAAAACAAGUGAACAGGCUAGCUCCUGUGGGCAGCCUUGAGACCUGUUGGAUGCUCACAGCCCACUGUGUUCACGCAGAUGGAGCCAAACUGCUCUUAGACAGUGACACAGUAUUUCCUCUAUGCAUGUGCAAAUUUUUUAUUAUAAAACCUGGAAAAAACACUACUGCUAUCACCUCUCCUACCCAGUGUGGGCAGAUUACUUGUACAGCAUUUAACCUCUGAAAUUCAAGUUCUCACCCAUGAGAAAUCAGUUGGCUCACAAUGCCUGGGAUAACAUAAUCCUUGUGUUGCAGAGUUAAACAGAAAAUUUUUCAGACAGCUAUAGAGAAGGGUAAUCAACAAUAACCUAUUCAUCAUGCAAUUCAAUUCCAAUCGGAGGUCAAUAGAAGGCUGAAGUCAGAAGUAUUCAGUAUUUGUCUAGUAUAAUUUAAAAUAUCUUGAAGAAUAUGGCUUUUCCUCACUGUCACUUCAUUUUCCUUGAAAUGAUUUUCCUCCUUUCCUCUUGAUUGUAUUAAGAGAAGAAUAAUGGCACAAUGUCCAUCAAGACAGGGGACAAAAUGAUGGUCUUGUGAAACAGUUUGAAUUUUAUAAGGGACAGAGAUGUAAUGGUGUGUGAAUAUAAAGCCAAUUAACAUAUGUUCCAAUGCUGUUUAUUUUGUUCCCACGUAAAAGCAAAAGUACAGAUUUGCAUAUUGACUUGUGGAAGGCCUAAAAAUAGUUUUGAGAAUAAGUCAAAUUGUCAUUUUUGUGCUUGGUUUCUUUUCGAGGUCCUACUGGGCCAAAUUUUGUCCUAUUUUUACAGCUGUAGUUUUCUAAAGGAACUUCCUUAUAAGCAGCAAUUGUUUUGUACUUUCA